This 433-nucleotide ribosomal RNA is filed under the name uncultured bacterium. Its description in RNAcentral is "partial 16S ribosomal RNA". It matches the Rfam family "Bacterial small subunit ribosomal RNA", at positions 29 to 507 of the family's 1533-position model. The record is from RNAcentral.
AACGAACGCUGGCGGCAGGCCUAACACAUGCAAGUCGAGCGAGGACUUCGGUUCUAGCGGCGGACGGGUGAGUAACGCGUGGGAAUGUGCCCUUCUCUACGGAAUAGCCCAGGGAAACUGGGCGUAAUACCGUAUACGCCCUAUCGGGGAAAGAUUUAUCGGAGAAGGAUCGGUCCGCGUUGGAUUCGGUUGUUGGUCGGGUAAUGGCCUACCCAGCCGAAGAUCCAUAGCUGGUUUUAGAGGAUGAUCAGCCACACUGGGACUGAGACACGGCCCAGACUCCUACGGGAGGCAGCAGUGGGGAAUCUGAGACACUGGGGGCAACCAGGAUCUAGCCAUGCCGCGUGAGUGAGGAAUGCCUUAGGAUUGUAAAGCUCUUUCAGCUGGGCAGAUAAUGACGGUACCAGCAGAAGAAGCCCCGGCUAACUCCGUG